UAAGACUUUGCAGGCUAAAAUUAUGGGUGGGACCUUCAUGAUAUAAUAAUACUUGCAGUUCUGGAAGAUCUUCCAAUUGCAACGACUUCAAACAUGGGAAAAGUUUGUUUUCUUGUCCAUCAGCGAUAAUAGCUUCCAACUGAAAUACCACCUGUACUCCAAUUUCCCUAAUAUGCAAUUCUUCCAAAUUUUUUAAUCCGUGCUUCAACAGUGCUGGAAUCGUGUCACUCAAAUGGGAACAAUUGUCCACAUCUAGAGUAUUUAAGUUCUGAGACAAAUAAAUAAAUAACUUGAUGCAAUUAAAAUCUAUUAGCAGCUAGGAUUAUCACAUGAUAAGUGAUGAACACCGCAAAAAACAAAAACAGAAAACAAAAUCCAUACAAAAAUAUCAUAAUACAUAUGUAAACUAAUAAAAUAAUUAAAAAGUAAUGGAUUUAAAAAAAAAUGAAAUUAGUUAAAAGAGAUCAUGUGAAGUGAUAUAAAUGUGACAUUAGAUUGUUUUAGAAAAAUUAUUAUUCUAUUAAUUUAUAUGGCUUGAUCAACUAUUUUAUUGAAUUUGAAUAAUAUUAUAUACACUUCAGAAGUAUUUGCAUCAAUUCUUUCUAAACCAAAAUGAGAUAUGACUUUCAUUUGAAGAAUGAUUUUAGGCCCUAUAAUAAAGAAAUUUCUCUAAAAUAUCUUAGCAUUAUUAUUAUCACCAUCACAUCCACCACCAUCAUCAUCUCCAUAGGAUCAAAAAAUUAAUGGCUGAUCAUAAAAUUUAUUGCUAAACUAUCAUUUUGAGUAAAAUUGAAUGAAAAGAAAAAACAUGAACCCAAACAAACAUACCUCUUUGAGAUACUGUAAAUUGGCUUCAAGUUCAUUACUGUUGAUGGUCAAGUUGGGACAAUUAUGAAGGUCUAAAUUUUCCAAUGCUGUCCAAAUUGAACAAUAAUUCUCUGAACAGAACUUGGUGAGUUCUGGGAGAUCUUUAAGUUUUAAUUUUCUCAACAAAGGGAGGGCGAGCAUCGUAUUGCCAUCUCCGAAACUUAUUCCCCCUUCAUUGUGAUCAAACUUUGCUUCGACAAUAUAUUCCAGUCUCUUGCAAUAAGUCACAAUGAGACUUUUAAGCUGCUCCAAACUUCUAGCUUGUGACGACGUGAAGAUGUAUGUCAACUUGUUGCACCUAUGCACAUUCAAUUCUGUAAGAGUUUGGAGACUGAUCACAUGUUGGGCGGGCCCCUUCCAUGUCCACUUCAGUUCUGGUAAGUCCCACAUAGAUAACUCUGCUAAUCUUGAGAGACUCUUUCCAUGCGGCGACUUAGAGGCUUCCAUUAUGCAUUCUAAAUCUUCGCAAUCGCGGACAUCAAGACAAGUCAACUCAUUUAAGCCCCUUUCAUCUAUGCUUGGCACAAUAUUGUAACAACCUAUAAUCCCACUUAAAUAAAGAAUUUCCAGUUCUUGAUACAAUGCCGAAAAAAUACCGAGCGAGGUCGCUUCAGGAGGGUGGUUACCAAUCAUUAAGAUCCUUGCCUUAUCAUCAUGUUCCCUUUCAUCAUAAACUCCUUCAACUUUAUAGAUGACGUACCUUUGCAAUUUCGGGAAUGUAAAGUCUUUUGGAAGACAUACAACAGAUCUGUCGGCUUGGGAGUUCAACUCAGCAAGCCUAGCAUUACUUUCUUCUGAACUCAUCCCUUCAACCUCCCAAUCUUUUAUCCGACCAUAAAAUUCUUCCAAUUGAGGAAAUUUUUUUAUCGUAAUGGGAGAAACAGAACCAGUAUCAAUAUAUAGAAGUUUCAAUCUACCAAGUUCAUCCGACAAUUCUUCAGGAAUUUCAAUGGGAGAUGACUGGAGAUAAAGAAGUUCAAGUCUCUUCAACUUUCCAAGAAAAAACGUGUCACUCACAUCACACCGAAUCAACUGCAGAACCUGGAGGUUGGUGAGGCUCUGAAGCGAUUUAAGUGAAAGAACUCCACCUAUUAUAGUGACAACUUUCAAUGCUGGCAUCCCUUUAAAAAAAUGUUCUGGAACUUGCAAUCGGUGGUCGUAUUCAGGAUUCUCCAAUCGCAAAAUAUGAAGGUUAGGGCAUACCAAACCACUAGAAAGCUCUUAUUUUUUAUUUCCCACCAAAGAGAUUCCUCUGUAUUGUUCCAGGCCUUCUUUCAUUGCCCGUUCUGCCAAUCCAAUGCCAAAUUUACUAAAAAAUUUCUUCUCCUCUAGAACUAUUGAGCCUAUCCAUAUGGCUACAUCACGAACCAUGUCAUGCAUUUUCACAGAUCUGUCAUUACCAGUGUCUAACAGCAGUGACGCAGCUUUGAGCGCGUUAAUCGUUCCAUGCAGUCGGCUUCUGGCGUUUUCUAUUGACGGAGCACAUUGAUACCAAAUAACCCCCACUGCGUAUCCAACCAAAUCCUCCAAAUAAAUCUCAUAAUCUUCUGGAAACAGAGAACACAACAAGAAGCAUAACUUGGACUCCUCACUAUUUAAAUUGUCGUAACUGAAUUUAAGACAACCGUAAACGUCUUGGUCAUCCUUGUCAAUACCUUCUAUUGCAUAGAGUUUUGCUUCCUUUAGGUUAUUUAGUGCUAGUUUCCAUUCAUCAGAUCCUUUUUCUCUUAGUGCACUUCCAACAGCUUCAAUAGCUAAAGGCAGCCCCUUAAUUACAUUCGUCGGCAACUUGUUUUGAAACACCAUCCAAGGAGGAGUCGUUUACAUUAAUACCGGCAUUCAUUUUUAGUAGAGUCAAUCCUUCUUCUGGUGUUAUUGUACCAAGUUCAAUCUGUGGGUAACAACCGAAAGAACCACAAAUUGACUUUUUGCGAGUGGUUAGAAGGAUUUUGCAACAAUUGUCUCUAUCACCAAUGGGAAUACCUAAUUUUUUCUCCAAGUCGAGUUGUUUCCAAACAUCACCAAGGAUUAUGAGGAUUUUGCUGCUUUUACUCUCAGAAAACAUCAACCGCAAUCGAUCUGCUCUCUCUUUUUCAUCUGUCUCAUUUAACGCCCAGCCUAACGACUUUACCAGCUCACUUUGAACCUUUAUUAUAUCUGGAUCCUGAGACACAGUGACUAUCCCAACUUCAUCGAAAAUCUUUUGUUGCCGAAGUUGAUUGCCCACAAAAUUUGCCAAGGUCGUCUUCCCUACACCACCGAGACCGUGCAAUCCCACCAUCUUUGUGCUCUCUUUUUUCAGUGCUUCAGUGAUUUGAAUGCAAGCCAAAUCUGUAGCCUUGAAAGGAGAAAAAGAUCUCGGUAUAGGCAAUUCUUUGUCUGAUGGUAGAGGUUUAGGACGGGCAACUGUGCUGAAUUUGCUGCGGUCUUGUAGCAGAUCGGACAACUUGCUAGUCUUCUUUGAUGCUUUUGUACCCAGCCAGUAUCGGCAACCCCAAUUAGGACACCAUCCAUUAAGACAACUCUUCUUUUCAUCUAUCUUUGCUUUUAAAUUUCGAACGUCGGCCAUUUCUUUAUCUACAUCCUCAAGCCAUGUCUCGACAUCUUUCUCGACUACUAUAGCACGGUGUAUUUGUCGUUCUUGUUCUACUCUUUCAUUGAUGCCAUCUUUUUCCUUCUUCAAAUUGGUUUCUUUAACCUUAAGUUCUUUAUCUAUGCUGUUGAAACACAGCAGAUAACGAGCUUGGUUUAUGGUUGCAUCCACCAACAAUUCUCCAAGCCUUGAUGCAACACCUGACAAAAGUUCCAUGCUAUUUAUCUGCAAUUAAUAAAGUUGAUCUCAGUAAGCUAUAAGCAAAACAAUGAGGCUUGAUCACAAGAUCGAACGAGAAAGUUUAAUUACCUUUUUCUAUUCUGUGAAUGCACGUUUAUUGACACUAGCUUUGACCAGUAAGAGCAAAAUGCAAACGCCGAGCUUUAAGUGGCCUUUAGCUGCAAAACAAAAGAGAGGAAAUAAGGUAAUUUAUUAUUAUUAUUAUUUUUAAGGACGGAUAAAGGUUAGCUAGCUUGCAGACAAAUUUACUAAAAUCAAGACAAACCUAAGAGUUUUCCUAAUUUGUUCAAACAUGGAAUAAGCGUUUCACAACAGUAUAUCCAUAAAGGCCCCAGCGAACGUAAUAUGUGCUGGACUAUAUUGAAAUUAGAUUAUUUUAGAAAAUUUUAAAUAAAAAAUAUCAAACAACAAAGAAAUCUAAUAGAAUCUGGAUAAACAGCAUGGGAGAAUAUGGUAAAAUUGAUAAACUUGGUUCAAAAAUUACAAUUCUUUUUGAGAUUUGAACCAACGAUUUUGACUAAGGUCUCCUAAGCCACAAAGCAUAACUCUUACUACUAAAUUACGCGCAUUUUGUUACAUUUAAAUGUGGUCAUAUUCUUUUUAUUAUCUUUUUUUAGAAGGGACUCAUGGUAUACUUAAAAGAAAUAAUAAUGAUUUAGAUAGGGCUGAAGCCCACUCAUGAAAAAAUUCAAAGGUUUUCAAGAUAAUUACCGAUUUUUUUCCACCCAAUAUUCUAAUAGAAUGGUGCCAGAAUUCUCAAAUAAUAUCUUAAUAUUAUUUAACUGGUUGGCACCCACCUAUUGGAUGAUUAAUUUAAUAAUUUGUUACAUUAUUUAAUACUCCAUCUCACUAUCUAGUGAUGUAAAUGGUGGAGAAGGAUCGUCUCCUAGACUUUUUUCUCUCACUAAUCUCUUAGUGAAAUAAGUGGCCGAAAUUGAAUUUUAAUUUUUGAUAUUGACAAUUAAAUUGGCUUGUUUCACAUUAUUAACAAUUAAGCCAAUUUUUUUUUUCUCCUUUUUUCAAUUAGAUUUGGAAGGCUAUAAGAGAGUAGGAGAGAAAAAACACUAGAAGGAGAUCUUAAUCCAUAAAUAGUACCUUAUUUGGGAUGGUAAAGAUUGAGAUAAAUUUCCUCUUAGUCUCUAAAAUUUUGGCCUAUGCGCAGCCAUAAUUUUAGUAUUUUUAAAAAGAAUGGGAUUAUUUACAUUCUAAAAUCUAUUUUGAAUACUCUUUUACUCAACACACUCAUUCAAUAAAUAAAUUUUAAAAAAUAAUUUUUACUUUACACACUAUUUCGAGAGUCAAAACUAUCCUUCAUUAGGACCAUUUCAUUAACUAAUUAUUUUCUAUUGACACCCAUAAAAUAUUCAUCAUUCUUGAACCAUGUGGCGUUAAUUAAUGAUUCCGAAGCAUUAUCAAGAUUCAAGAUUUAUGUUGAAAUUCUUUCAUCUGACAUUUGAACCCAGCCACUAGCUAUAUACAUAUAUACUUUCAAAUGCAGCUCCGGGAAUAUUUUGUGACUGAUUUUAUAAAGUGUUUUAGUUACAUUAAUGCAGUGAAACAAUAAAGAGUACGUGGCUUGCUGAUUUCCAAAUCAAGUUGGGGGAAAAAACAGAGCAUUUUUCUUUUAUAAUGGAUUAGAUUAGACGAUGAAGGAAAAAUUAUUAGCGAUUAUUAGUACUUUUGUGUGUGUUAAGAGUAAUAAUAUUAUUUUAAAUUAUAUUAAUGCCUUUGGUACUGAAUUCAAUUAGGGUUAUUUUAGUAAUAUAAAUUUUCAUUAAAAUUAAAGUGUCCAAAUUAUAAUUUAGAUUUUUCAAAUGUAAAAUAAUAUUUAUUUAUUUGAUAUAAAUUAAAAUUCAAACAAAUGUAUCAUGCAACAAAUGAAAAGUAAAGAAUAUUAAUUAGGUUUUAAUAGAAACAAAUAUAAAUAGAUGUUUUGAGUAGUUAAUUUUUGUUAUUUUAUGCUAUUGGUAGUUUGUGGAUUAAAUAAUUUGUAUAAGGAUAAAUGGGGGUUUGUAUAAUUUAUACGAAGAUAAUCUCCAAAAUAAGCUUAUAUGUCGAAUUUAAAAGUGUUAUAUAAGUAGUAAUCGUAUAUGCAUCAAAAUUUUUAAUAAAAUUUAUUUAGAAAUUGGCCAAUUGAGUUUUAUGAAGAAAAUAGACGGGCAAGUAAUUUGUAGGUUGUGGUACUUCUCCAUACUUCAAAUCACUUUUAUCUAAUCAAUUGAUAAAUAUUUUUGGGCUCCAACAAAAUGAAAAGAAAAAGUUAAAAAUAAUUCUGAAAUUAAAAACGUUAGGUACUGCCUAUAAGCUAUACAAUUUUACCUUUCCUUCUAUCACAAUUAGUAUUAGAAAUAAAAAUAGUUUCGAAAUAAAUGUAAUUAGGAGGUAAUAUUAUCUCAACAAUACCUUAUAGGGAAAAAAACAUCUAUAUCCUAAAGUUUGGAGAAAUGGUCGUAAAGACCCCAGGUUUUCAGAAAGGGAUAUCAAGACCCUUUUUUGACCGUAAUACCCUUUAAAUCUAGUAAUUAAAAAAUUGACUUUAAGAUUUUUUAAUUGACAAAUUUAAUAUAAAUAAUAUAAUCUAUCUAGUAGAUUAAUAAUAUUAACAAUAAAAAUAAUAUUAAAAUUUAAAUUCUUAUAUUUAUUCUAAUAAUAUUUUUUUAUUUAUUAUAAAGAUUUUAAAUAAAUCCUUGGGUUAAAUAGGUUUUCCAGUUAACAAAAUAUACCCCUAUUAAAAAUAUUGAAAUUACUUUCUACAUAAUAUUUAAAAUAAUUACAAUUUAUUUAUUUUAAUAUUAUGUUUCUAUUUAUUAUUAAAAAUUACUUUAUUAGAGCAAAUUUUUAUUAAUUAAAGCUUUAAAAUUAAUUUUCUAAUUACUAAAUUAAAAGGGUAUUAUGGUCAAAAUGGGUCUUUCAUUUUUGAAAACUUAGGGUUUUUGCGACCAUCUCCCCAAACUUUGGAGUAUAGGUGUCCUUUUCCCGACUUCAUAUAAAGAUAUUCCAGAAGGUCUUAUAAUAACUUAUGUUAUAUGAAUUUAAUUAAAAUAUCAUUAAUACUUAAAUAAUAAUAAUUAUAGAAGACAUUGUAAUAAAUUAUUUGAUAUAUAUUAUUAAUGAUACUAUAUAUAUGUGUAUAUAACUACAUGAUGGCUUGGAUAUAUAUUGUUUAGUGGUAAUAAAUUUUUUUAAAAAAAUUUAAACUAAUGAUUUCAUGCGAUUCAAUGUUGGAUGAUUUAAAAUCAUAAAAUAUUGUUUUGACUUUCAAUAUCAACCGUUAGACUGUGAGAAAUUAAUUGCUCAAUAUUUUGUGUUAAAAUUUUAAAUUAAAAUAUCCCAAACCAUUUGUUUUACUUAAAAUACAAAAAAUAUAUAAAGAAAUUUUCUCAUUAAUUUUCAUAUUUUUAUUAGAGGUAAUAUUUUAUGUAUCGUCACCAUUAAUUGCCGUCAUUAAAGUAGUGACUCUUACUAAUAUAAAAUUUUAUAAUUAGUUAAUUGCAAUCAAAUGAUAUCAAUAAAAUAAUAUUUCAUGAUUCAUAAAUUAAAUCUAAUUAAGAAUAUAUGUUAGUUUUAACUUUUAUGAAAUCAACUAAGUGAUAUUACAAAAUAAAAUGAAAAUAAACUAGUGAAAUGAUGUGCUCAUAAUUUAUCUAUUAUUUUAAUGCUUCCAUAACUUAAUUUUAUGUUAAAUUAUAUUUUAUUAUAUUAAUUUUUAUCUUAAUUUUUAUAUUUUGUCAUUGUAGGAAUAAUGGGAAUAUUCAUGAGAAAAGAAGCUUAAAGAGGAAACAAAUUAGAGUAUAAUGAAAAUAAUGUGGAAGCAAAAGGGAAAGAAAUAAAAAGCCAAAUCAAGGCUGAUUGAAUUUAAUCAUCAUGCAUGCAACACGUGGGGGGAGCAUUAAAGAAUUAAUUUGCAAAUUGGCCAAUUAAACUUUACAAGUCACGUGGAUGGGCUUAAAAGGUGGCUAGAAUUGUUUUGUUUUAAAAAUCCCUUUCAUUUAAGGAUUCGUGGGCUGGAUUUGCAAUCCUUUUCCUUUAAGGAUUUGGAAGAAACCACAACAUUAUAAAAGAGAAGAAAGGCAGCCGCACAAGAGGGAUGGAAGCCAAGAGAAAAGAAAUAAUUGAGCAGCAACCGGAAGUCUUGAACGAAAACCGAAGAGCAGCAGCAAUAAUUUAGAGCAGAAGGAAGACACGUUAAUUCUUGAGUUUUUCUCUCUCUCUUCUCUAUUAUCUUGCUUGAAUGUUUCCAAUUAAAUUAAUGAAUUCUCUUUAUAUUCCCAUGAACUAAUUUAUUUACUAGGGCUACGAUGUAGCCUAAUUAUGAAGAUUUAAUUCCAUAAAUCUAUGUUAUUUUUUAAUUAAUUAUUCCAUGAUUGAGUGUUCAUUAUUGUGCUUAAUGCUUUUAAAUAUCUGGCCAAUAUUUGAAUGAUUCGAGGAUACAUAAUGAGACCGAGAUGAGAUUUAUGUAUUUUUGCUCUGUGUAAUGGAUGCCAUGAAUUGAACGAAAGACAUAGAUGUGCCAACGUGAUUCAUGCAGUUUUAUCUAAGAAUUUCCAUAGAACUUAAUGAAUCUUUGCAUAUUUAAAUUCACAUAGAGAUAUAGUGGGUUGAUAUGUGGAGAUAUUUUUGAUAUUACUCGAGAGAGGAUAUUGAAUAAAUUAGGGAAAUUCACUGUCAACAUGGGUAAUAAACUUUAAUAGCAUAGAUAGAGGAUUAAAUUGGAUUGGUUAUGGUGAAAUCGGAUGUCCUAGUGUUUUAAUCUCUUGGUGAUUUCUAUUACUGCCUGCGUCUUCAUUUAAUUUUUAAUUAUUUUAUUUUAUUUAACUUUAAUCUAAAUUCGCCUAAUCGAUUGUUCAAAUAAAGCAGGGUUAGAAUAAUUUCGGUAACUAAUAGGAUAUACAAUCUCUGUGGGACGAUACUCUACUCUUCAUUAUAUUACUUGUGCCGACUAGUACACUUGCUAAUUUACGCAACAAGUUUUUGAUAUAAAAUUUACACUUGCUAAAGUAGUGACUCUUACUGAUAUAAAAUUUUAUAAUUAGUUAAUUGCAAUCAAAUGAUAUCAAUAAAAUAAUAUUUCAUGAUUCAUAAAUUAAAUCUAAUUAAGAAUAUAUGUUAGUUUUAACUUUUAUGAAAUCAACUAAGUGAUAUUAGAAAAUAAAAUGAAAAUAAACUAGUGAAACUUAAAUUUUAUAAGGUUUGAAUAAUUUUCUACCACGUAAGAAUAUUAAUUGUGACAUAAACCAUAGUUUCAUGGUAUAUGUAUGCCAAAUGGGGUAACAAAUAAUAUAUACUUCAUGAUCAUGAUAGUAUAUAAAGUAGUGGAUAUUUUAAUAAAUAACAUAAAAUUCUUUAAGACAUAGGUGGUCAAUUAUAUAUUUUUUAGGAUAUAGACAAUCUCAAUCAAGAGUUUAUUGAUGUGAAUAGAUGGCAUUCACUUAAAUGUAUAUACUUAAUUGUGUUGUUUAUUGGUAUUACAUGUAACAAAAUUUUAUAUUAAAUUUUGAAGUUUUAUACUGUUGUUUCUAUUGAAUUUAUAAAUACAAUAAAAUUAUGGCCAUCAACAAUCACAACCAACUGCCACCAACAAUUACAUUCUCAUAUCUGUUGACGACAAUUUUUUAUACUAUUGGAACUCCAAUCUUUGAUGCUACACAAUAGUUAAAGUACCGACAUCAAUAGAACUUCCGUUCAUUGUAGAUCUAUAGUCAAAGUUUCGAAUCUUAAAAAAUUGACAGCAGAUUUAUGUCAAAUGAAAGCUUGUUACCAGUGAUUCUUAUACAAUUAUGUUGUUAUAGUAAUAAAGAUUCUAAUGGUACUAAAAUGCACUCCAUUAGACAUAAAGAUCCGACGACUAGUGGCGACAAUAACUAUCAUUAGUGACUUGGAGGUAAUUGCCGUUAAUAAAUUAUUUUUAACUUAAUAAUUAAUACAAACAAAUAAAAAAGUAAUUUAAGGAAAAUUAAUGUAAUAAAUAAUUGAAUUAAAAAAAUUAAAACCUAAAUUCUCGACCAUUUAUCCGUAUCUUUGGAAUCCAACGUUCAAAAUUGGAAUAAAACAUAGUAUAGCCAUUGGAAGUAAAACAAACAUUAAAGAGACUAGGAAAAAAUAUCUCAUACCUUCUAUAAUGAUACAUCCUCAAUCACUGCAGAAAGCUCCAAUUAAAAAGUCGCACAAGUUCGGAGAAAAUUACCAACUGUACCUAACAACACAAAUAAACAUCAAAUCAAAGCAACAUAGGAUCCAGCUAAUUAACAUCAUAAGUAAGUCCUUGUUCUCAGUCAAAUCUUUCGUUCUUAGGAAAAAAAAAAAAAUUGAAAGAAUAACGGUAACUGGAAAGUUUGACGACAUAAAGAUCUAGCUAAAUUUUAAGAAGCAAAAGUAAAUAAUGAAAGCUCAAUAAAAGAUCAUCAGCAUUAACAUACCGAAAUGAGAGCAGCUCACAGAACUGGUAAUUUCCAAGAACAGGAAAAAUAAGUGAGCUGAUAUUGAGGACAACUAAAGUAGUCAUGGAGUAAUUUGCUAUUGAGGACACCUAAAAUAAGAAAAUUAAUUAACAUUGCUCUAUACACCAUUUCAAUAAUUUGACUAUUAAAAAAAAAAUCUAUCUAGAUCACGAUUUCUCAAAAUGAUACUUUUUCUAAUUAAAUAAAUCAAAAUGCUUGCUUCUUUCUUUUUCAGAAAAGAAAAAGUGGCAAUGGCAUCAAUUUUUUUGCUAGAUUAUUAUCACCAAAAGCACAAGCAAGGAAUAAGAAUACUCUCUGAAACCAACCAUGUAAAGAGUAGAAGUAAGUGGUCAAUUGUAAAUUAGUCUUUCUUUUUUCUUUGUUAUUUUUUUCAUUUUUUGAAUGUGAACUAAAUAAAUUUAAGGGUGAAGCUAUUACACCUUGAAAACUAUAACUGAACACCCAUUUUUUUAAUUAAAUUUUUAUUACUAAAAUAACCAUGGAGUAAUUUGCUACUAAGGAAAACUAGAAUAAUAAAAUGAAUAAUGAUUGCUCUAUACACCCUUUUCUAAGUCUAUCUUCUUCUUAAUUUCAUAAUUUGGCUGUCAAAAAGUAAUCUAUCUAGAUCACGAUUUCUCAAAUGAUGCUUUUUCUAUCUAAAUAAAUGAAAAUGCUUGUUUCUUUCUUUCUCGAAAAGAAAAAGUGGCAAUGGCAUCAAUUUUUGCUUGCAAGCACAGCGAGGAAUCAGUAUACUCUCGGAAACUAACCAUAUUAAGAGUAGAAAUAUUUAUUUGGUUAUCACGAAGUAAGUUAGAAAUCAAUUAUAAAUGGUCUUUUUUUAUUUUUUAAUGUGAACUAUAUAAAUUUAAGGUGAGGUUAUUUACACUUUGAAAAACAUUCUGAAAACCAUUAUUUCAUUAAAUUUUUUAUUAUUAAAGGUCCGUUUGGGGCAGCUACGUUGAAGCAGCGCAGCUGCCCCAAACGCUCUCUAAAAUAGCCAUGGAGUAAUUUCUUACUGAGGAAAACUAGAAUAAUAAAAUCAAUUAUCAUUCUUCCAUGAACCCGUUUCUAGAUGUAUCUUCUUCUUGAUUUGGUAACUUGGCUGUCAAAAAGAAAUCUAUCUAGAUCACGAUUCCUCAAAAUGAUGCUUUUUCGGAUGAAAUAAAUGAAAUUGAACCUACAAUCUGUCACAAACACGUUAUAAUGAGCCUAAUGAAAAGCAGUAUGAGAAAUUUUGCUUCCAUGUUGUUUCUUCCAUAUGUAAAGGUAGUAAAAAGAAAUUUAAGUCCUAGAAACAAAUGGAUGAAGAAUUAUCAAUAAUUAAAAUUAAAAAAAGAAACAGAGUUAUAAAAGAAUCACAGUUCCACCAAAAAUUAAGAGUUAUUUUAUUUGGUGGUUUCCUAUCCCGAAAGCAUUACUUGUAAAUAUGUGCUAACAAGUAAUAAUUAAGAAAGUUAAGGCCAAUCAUUUAGAAGGGAGAAAAAUGGAAACAUCCGGAAUAUUGUUAUGUGUUUUCAGUGCGUAUCUACCAAUCAAUAAUGAAAAAUUAAAUACGCAUGUGACGAAAAUUUAAUAAAGAGAACUGGAGGUGACAAAAUUUUUAUUAUUCUAUCUUUCUCUCCUCUGAAACUUCCUUAAUUUGGUUGGGAAGUGCUUUGUCUUAGGCAGUGGAUCUGUUAUAAAUACCCUAUGCUAAAGUUAAUAUUUUGAUUGAAGAAAAAAAUAGAGGAGAAAAAUUUUAUUAAAGUAUAACAUAAUUUGAUAAAUUUAGAAUUGAGGAGAGAAAAUGAGUCUAAAUUCGAAAAUUUUGGCACUAUUUACAUAUAAUUAUUUGGGCAAAAAUUCAUUUCUCUGCUUUCAUAUGAUUUGGUCUUUCAUUGUUACGGUGCCAAUUUUUUAUUUAAAGAUGUAAGAUAGUGGUACUAUAGCUUAGAUUUUCCGUAAAUACUACAUGGUAAGUACAAAAUAAAAUACUAGUUUAAAAUAUAAAAAUGAAAAACUAUUUUUAUAACCAAUAUUCAAUUAAAUACACUUGAAACUCUAUUUUUUCUUAAUAAAAAAAUUCUAAUUUAUUUUCUCAAUUUAUCUAAACAACUUUACCUAAUCAAGCUAAAUCUACAUAUUACCCUAAACCUUAAUUCAUAAACACCCAAUCAAUCCAAUUGUUAAAUCCGAUUUCAUAAUUAAAAAAGCUAAAUUCUAUUUUAUUAUUUAUGGUGCAAAGUAAAAAAUGCCCUUGAAGUUAAGGGUAAAAUUGAUAUUUUAUUUAAAUUUUGUUAAUAUUCUAAUAAUGUUAAUGUCUUAGUGGUUAAUAAAAUCACAAAGUCAAACUUUUGUAGUAUUUUUUAUAAUAAGUUAAAGAUAUAUGUUUGAUAAUUUUCCUACGUCUUUUUACGUUAAAUUGAGUCUCAAGAGAAAAAUGAUUAAUUUGCUACAAUUCUGUCAGUUUUCUGAUGGAAGAUAAUGAUACAAUGAAUAAAUAAUACAAAUUAUUAAAUUAAUGUUGAUGAAUGAUACAACUUGAAAAUAUUGUAGUAUUCUUAAUAGUAGAGAAAUGUAAAGGUGGAUGGUUGAUAAUUUAAUGAAGUAACUACAGAAUUUUCCUUUCAAAUAUUUUUUUAAAAUAUAUAAUGAGUAAAAAUCAUUUUACAGAAUGAUCAUACGCAUUUUGUAUCACAAACGAAAACAUGAACCAACUAUGUAUAGAGUCAAUUAACUAAAGUUCUCAAGAGUUGACCUGUGCUCCUGAAUUCUUGGAAUCAUAUAUCUCCUUCUGAAUUUCCACGAAGCCUGGGACAAUUAUUAACAUAUACAAACUUGGCAGAUGGAAAUGGGAUCUGAUAACCCGUAGGCCAAAAGUUGGUGAGGUUUGGUAAAUCUGACAGUAUCAACUCCCCAAGUUCAUUCAUAACAAUUUCAUUGUACUCCGUGACGUCUGCUCCAUCUUUAUGCCAGAAUACUUCUUCUAAUUCAUCAUUACCUAUUAUCCAUAUGUACUUCAGUUUUUGAAGACUUGGAGCUACGCUGAUAUGAAAUAGAUGCUUUAGUUUGGGGCAAUAACCGACAGAGAUCCUUUUGAGUUUUGGGAAACAUACAGGUUGGAGAUGAUCCUCAUCCUCAUCCUCAUCAAUGAUUUGCUCUAAUUCGAAGCAAUUCCAAACAUAUAACGCCUCCAAUUGUAACAGAUUUCGAGCAAAUGUUGAUGAGAAGAGACGUCUCAGCAUAGUGCACCCGUCCACUGUUAAAUAGGUAAGACUUUGCAGGCCAAAAUUAUGCGUGGGACCUACGUGAUAUAAUACUUGCAGUUCUCGAAGGCUUUCCAACUGCACCUCCUUCAAACAUGGGAAUAGUUUGUUUUCUUGUCCCUCAGCGAUAAUAGCUUCCAAUUGAAAUACCACAUGUACUCCCAGUCGUCUAAUACCCAAUUCUUCCAAAUUUUUUAAGCCGUGCUUCAACAGUGCUGGA
Molecule: long non-coding RNA, 13602 nt
Filed under: Citrus maxima (pomelo)
Lineage: Eukaryota; Viridiplantae; Streptophyta; Magnoliopsida; Sapindales; Rutaceae
Description: long non-coding RNA (CMAX_LNC003389)
Source: RNAcentral